This 253-nucleotide ribosomal RNA is filed under the name uncultured bacterium. Its description in RNAcentral is "partial 16S ribosomal RNA". It matches the Rfam family "Bacterial small subunit ribosomal RNA", at positions 524 to 776 of the family's 1533-position model. The record is from RNAcentral.
UACGUAGGGUGCGAGCGUUAAUCGGAAUUACUGGGCGUAAAGUGUGCGCAGGCGGCUGAGCAGGUCGAGUGUGAAAGCCCCGAGCUUAACUUGGGAAUUGCGCUCGAAACUACUUGGCUCGAGUGUGGCAGAGGAAGGUGGAAUUCCACGUGUAGCGGUGAAAUGCGUAGAGAUGUGGAGGAACACCGAUGGCGAAGGCAGCCUUCUGGGCCAACACUGACGCUCAUGCACGAAAGCGUGGGGAGCGAACAGG